UACGUAGGGUGCAAGCGUUAUCCGGAUUUAUUGGGCGUAAAGGGCUCGUAGGCGGUUCGUCGCGUCCGGUGUGAAAGUCCAUCGCUUAACGGUGGAUUCGCGCCGGGUACGGGCGGGCUUGAGUGCGGUAGGGGAGACUGGAAUUCCCGGUGUAACGGUGGAAUGUGUAGAUAUCGGGAAGAACACCAAUGGCGAAGGCAGGUCUCUGGGCCGUUACUGACGCUGAGGAGCGAAAGCGUGGGGAGCGAACAGG
Molecule: ribosomal RNA, 253 nt
Filed under: uncultured bacterium
Lineage: Bacteria
Description: partial 16S ribosomal RNA
Rfam family: Bacterial small subunit ribosomal RNA
Source: RNAcentral